UGGAUUGUAGCCUCCCACAUCGCCCAGGGAAGUGGAUCCUGUAAGCCUUAUAUGUAUAUUCCCAUCUCUACCUAGCACGAGACAUUUUGGGAGUUCACUGGCUUCGGGUUCCAUCGGAACUCCGAAGUUAAGCGAGUUCGCACGAGAGCAAUCCCAUGAUGGGUGACCCAUUGGGAAGUUCUUGUGUGAGUUCCUAGAAACAAAACCGUGAGGGCGUGGUCGGGGCCCAAAGUGGACAAUAUCGUGCUACGGUGGAGUCGAGCUCGGGAUGUGUGGGGGCCCGGGCCGGGAUGUGACAAUUUAAACUGACAUACCUCGACCUAGAUUGAGGCAUGCUGGCCGUCAUAUGGGAGUGACGUAACCAUGUGCACAAUACGGAAUCAAUAGAGAUAAAAGGAAUUACGAAUAAAUAAAAACCAAAUAAACUAGAGUACUAGAUAAGAUAAAGUGCUAGUGCGAGAUUAAGUGUGAAACACUCAACCAAAGCAUAAAUAUCCUAAGUGCAGUCAAGCAGGACAAGUACCAAUUACACAACACCCAAGGGUGAUCCUACAUUUACGAUGUUUUGUCAGAAUCACCGUCGAAAUCCCCGCGAUCCACCAAAGCACUUCUACCUAAAACCUGGAGGGGCGCAAAACAGAAGGUGUGAGUGGGAAAAAACAAAGCUUUUCACAAUCAUUUCACUUCUCAAAAGUUCUAACCCCUAACCGUAAAACCUGUAUAAUUUUCCUAGAAAAAUAAUAAUAAGCUGUAUCAGAAUCAUACUCAAGGUGAAAAUCCAAAGAAGUAUACCAUGCCAAAGUAUCUCAAUGCAAUGCUAUAAAUAAUCCAGGUAAAAUAUAUCAAUAUCAAAUAUCGCAUUAGCCAAAUCCCUCUAACUCAAUCUGCACGGCCGAGUAUAUAGCUCAUAACCAAUCUAAAUCAUAUCAAAUCAAAUCCUGCACACGAGGCCGAACCACCUAAAGUGGUAUGUACGACAAGACUAGGUGUAAAAUAAAUAUGCUCUAGUGCUACGAUCACAUGGAGCCUGUGCGAAUAAUCGCGGGUCACCUACGAGUUGGAACCACCUAAAGUGGUAUGUACGACAAGCCUGUGCACCUAACUUGGAUCCAAGGCGAGCAUAUGGUGCGGGAGGUGAACAUCACGUGAAGGACUGUGCCCUAACUCUGGGCAGGAGCACUAACACCGGGGUGCAGGUUUAUGAGCUCUCAAUACAUCACAUCAAAUAUUGCAUAACUAAAACAAUCUCAUACCUUUAAUUUAUAAACUCACCUGGCACUUACCUGUGCAUCCGCAACACCAAUCAUAAAUAUAUGCAACUACUAAUGUAUAAUAAAAUAGACAGAUACUUUGAAUGGCAUUUCACAACAUAUAAUCAUUCAAAUUCAUUUUCUGGGAAAAAUCUCAAGUAUAUAGGUAUAUACGGAAAACCAAAAGACCACUCACUGAUAUGUCGAAGGGUCGUAGCCCCCGAGCCUCGACUGAUGGCGCUCGUCCUCAGGAUAAGUCUCACCUAUAUGCGAAAUAACUAAAUAAACAUUAUUUUAAGCACAUACACAAAACUAGGAAAUAACUUCUCAUACAAAGCUUAAAUGGGAUAUUGAAUAUACCACCAUGAGCUACUCAACCUCAGGAACAUUCCUAUAUUUUUAGAAAAAAAUUUCAACCUCCCACGCGCCGGCCAAGGCACGGCCAGAUGCGCCCCCACGUGUGGCCAAACCUUAAUUGAAACUUAACUGCUAUUAGGAAUAUUCCGUUAAUGGAAUAUUCUCAAAAUGAAGCUUAGGACUAGGAGAACAAAACCUUACCACUUUCAAGCCUUGAAAUCCACGGGAUUUCGCCGGAGGAACCUCGAUAAUCUGGCCAAACUUGAAACUUGCCAUACUUGACUUCCUGACAUCCAAAACACUUUGUUUUUCUUCUCCGAGCUUCACGAAGACAUCCUAAAGCUCACUAGUAGCUUAAAAUCUUCUAAAAACUUCACAUUCACGAUCACAUGAACAGUAACCCAAAACUGGGUUCUUCGGUUCUCGGGAAAAUAAGGUCUUCACGCCUAACCAAGGGUAUAGGUGAGCUCCUGAGCUCACAAGGAUCACAAAGAUUACCUUCACAGCCUUGAUCCAUGACUGGAAGGGAGAGUUUGAAGUUCGUCCGUACGCUUGUACGGAAAGUAGAAGAAAACCGAGAGGGAAGAGAGAGAAAAGGAGUCAACGGGAGAGAUAAUGUGUGUGUGGUCCAAAUUUUCUUACAACCAACCAAAACAAUUAGAACCUUUAGUUCUAAUUGGGUCCAAAAGGUUAGGAAGAAAAUAAGUAAACUCAAUUGUUUAAUUUCUUAGCUUAUUUACACAACCCACAACUCAACUUUCAAGGGUAGAAUCGACAUUUCACGCCAUCAAGAAAAAUAUCUCGGGACGAGCUAUCACAAAAAAUGUUUCCUUCAAGGAUUUUACUGUUCUUCUUCUUCCUCUGCCUCACCUGCUGGAUAUACCCUCGUGAAGAAUUGUUCGCACCAUGCCUGCUUUUAGUUCUCAACAUAACAGUUACGUAUAUCUUUGAUUUCUUGUUUGGUGCAGUUCCUAAUUUCUAACCCAAU
RNAcentral lists this long non-coding RNA (2595 nucleotides) under Malus domestica (apple). Lineage: Eukaryota; Viridiplantae; Streptophyta; Magnoliopsida; Rosales; Rosaceae. The record is from RNAcentral.